GGUCAGGCGGGACUACCCGCUGAAUUUAAGC
RNAcentral lists this ribosomal RNA (31 nucleotides) under Myosotis pygmaea. RNAcentral's name for it is "partial 28S ribosomal RNA". The record is from RNAcentral. Lineage: Eukaryota; Viridiplantae; Streptophyta; Magnoliopsida; Boraginales; Boraginaceae. RNAcentral also lists the same sequence under 2 other names.